CCUACGGGUGGCAGCAGUGGGGAAUAUUGGACAAUGGGCGAAAGCCUGAUCCAGCCAUGCCGCGUGUGUGAAGAAGGCCUUCGGGUUGUAAAGCACUUUCAGUGGGGAAGAAAGCCUUGGGGCUAAUACCCUCGAGGAAGGACAUCACCCACAGAAGAAGCACCGGCUAACUCCGUGCCAGCAGCCGCGGUAAUACGGAGGGUGCGAGCGUUAAUCGGAAUUACUGGGCGUAAAGCGCGCGUAGGCGGUCUGAUAAGCCGGUUGUGAAAGCCCCGGGCUCAACCUGGGAACGGCAUCCGGAACUGUCAGGCUAGAGUGCAGGAGAGGAAGGUAGAAUUCCCGGUGUAGCGGUGAAAUGCGUAGAGAUCGGGAGGAAUACCAGUGGCGAAGGCAGCCUUCUGGACUAACACUGACGCUGAGGUGCGAAAGCGUGGGUAGCAAACAGGAUUAGAUACCCGUGUAGUC
Molecule: ribosomal RNA, 465 nt
Filed under: Vreelandella stevensii
Lineage: Bacteria; Pseudomonadati; Pseudomonadota; Gammaproteobacteria; Oceanospirillales; Halomonadaceae
Description: partial 16S ribosomal RNA
Rfam family: Bacterial small subunit ribosomal RNA
Source: RNAcentral